ACUAGCUAGUUGGCCGUGGGUCGAAAGGCCGUGGGUUGAAAACCCACCCUACGGCGUUUCUAGGUGUUCCACCCGCCCCAUUUGGUG
RNAcentral lists this transfer RNA (87 nucleotides) under Pseudoprimorskyibacter insulae. Its description in RNAcentral is "Primorskyibacter insulae tRNA-Phe". Lineage: Bacteria; Pseudomonadati; Pseudomonadota; Alphaproteobacteria; Rhodobacterales; Paracoccaceae. The record is from RNAcentral.